AGAGGGAAUGUAACAUCCUGGCCCUUUGGAUUCUUUUCUUUUCCCUUCUCUUUGUUUCCCCUGCUUUCAUGCAUCCACAACACUGAGUAACCUUCCCUACCCCCACGACGUCGUUUGAGGUGAGUUUCAUCUUUCCACACAUAUUUUAUCUUUCCAACGGUUUUUCAAUUCAGUUUCUGCACUUCCGAAGAUUCCUCCACCCAAUCUCUUUUAUCUCCAUGUCUUGGCAGUUUGAAGUUUCAACUUCCUUUCCGCUUUUUAGUUCUCUCCUUUAUUUCAUUCCCCGUCCAUCACUCAGAUCAUUUUCUCUAUCCAUAUCUCUCUUGCUCUCGAUCUUCUCUCUCUCUGACUGAGUUUCUCCCGUUCACUGCAACCGCUAGUUAGUCUUCAUGAUCUAUAAGAACCUGCUUCACCACCCUAAACCAAACCAUGCAUACAGCCACCCUCCCUACCCCUUCACGUCACAGCCAUGCACCAUGGUGGGAAACUUGUACCCCCCACUGCCCAGCCCCUCGAGAAAAUUUCUACCACCGUGUCCCCUGCCAUAACGACAACGCCGCCCCCAUCUCGCAGCGCAACAACUCCGAAGGGAAACCAACUUGCCGAGUUCUCUCCUGCACGACAGAAGAUGCAAGCCUACAAUCCAUAAUCCUCCACCGUGCUGCCCCUGCACCUCUAGCCUCACCACUAACCGAGCAUUAGCACCCCAAAGCCGAGCCAACAACCUCUGUUUUUAUGCAAGAAAACAGAGCAGCUGUUGUGCUUUCAGCCUCUUGCGCGUCGGAAGCCUAACCUCGCCGUCAUCACCUUGACGUCGUCUCCUUUUGCAUGGAAGGUUCCAUCCAGCACUGCGCAUUUACCCCGUUGUUUUUCCUCUGGCUCCACCACCACGCAAGUAAGGGCCGCCGUCGCUGACCUUGUUUCCGCCUGGAACUCUAGCAGCAGCACCACCGCCGGGCCUUUCCAAAACACCAACAACAUCUGUUUCUUAACAAGAAAACAGAGCACCUGCUUUCCCCACCGUUGGUCACAAACUAACUGUGGAUCUCAAACCUGUUAGCCGCCAUUCUUAGCCGAGCUUCGAAGCCCCAUAAACUCAACCUCCGUCGAUUAGUGCCGCUGCUUCUUCUUCUUUCAUUGGCCGUUUGUCACUGUCGACCCACCCACUGCCAGUUUUCAGUUGCUAUCCUUCUUCAUCUCUGUGAUUAUUGAUGUUCGUUUCGCACUUCUGUGAGGAAAUUCAAAGAGGUUAAGAAGUACAGGUGAGCGGGGUUCCUAUGCUAGAUUUGCAUAAAAAAAAUGAUUUGAGAUGAUUGAAUGUUUCAGCUGAUGAUCAAGAUUCGAAAGCAUGUAUAAGGCUAAGUGAUCAAAGUGGAUUAAGUACAAAGAUGGUACUUUGGUUAUUAGAGAAUUUUAUUCAGUAGUUUUGUUUUGCUUUGUCAACUUGGUAUUUUGGAAAGUUGAUAUUUAUUUUGAGGUUUUGUAGUCUUUAGAAUGAAUAAGAGUAGUUGAUUUGAAACAA
Long non-coding RNA from Carya illinoinensis, 1522 nucleotides. RefSeq lists it as uncharacterized. Lineage: Eukaryota; Viridiplantae; Streptophyta; Magnoliopsida; Fagales; Juglandaceae. The record is from RefSeq and is a predicted model, not a curated record. The transcript is spliced from 5 exons.